GAGUUUGAUCCUGGCUCAGAUUGAACGCUAGCGGCAGGCUUAAUACAUGCAAGUCAGGGGCAGCACGGUUAGCAAUAACUGGUGGCGACCGGCGCACGGGUGCGUAACACGUAUACAAUCUACCUUAAACAGGGGGAUAGCCUUUCGAAAGAGAGAUUAAUACCCCGUAAUAAAUUGAACGGCAUCGUUUGAUUUUGAAAGCUCCGGCGGUUUGAGAUGAGUAUGCGUCUGAUUAGCUAGUUGGUGAGGUAACGGCUCACCAAGGCGACGAUCAGUAGGGGACCUGAGAGGACUAACCCCCACACUGGUACUGAGACACGGACCAGACUCCUACGGGAGGCAGCAGUAAGGAAUAUUGGUCAAUGGAGGCAACUCUGAACCAGCCAUGCCGCGUGCAGGAUGACGGCCCUAUGGGUUGUAAACUGCUUUUAUACAAGAGAAAACCCUGGUACGUGUACCAAGUUGAUAGUAUUGUAAGAAUAAGCAUCGGCUAACUUCGUG
This 501-nucleotide ribosomal RNA is filed under the name uncultured bacterium. RNAcentral describes it as "bacterial SSU rRNA". It matches the Rfam family "Bacterial small subunit ribosomal RNA", at positions 9 to 507 of the family's 1533-position model. The record is from RNAcentral.